UGCAACCGCUCUGAUGGGGAGCCUAUCGUUCUAGUAAAAGCUGACAACAUCAGCCAGACUCGUUCCUACGAAGCUUGAUCUCUUCGGUGAUCUCACUCUUGCGGAGGUGGGUUCUGACUAGUCAUGUUGACCUUCGCUCCUAUGGAACUUUUCCACCGGUGCGACGUCGCUCUAGAGACCAUGGUCCGUCGGAGCGACAAUUGCUGGUAGUUAUAUCUCUCUUCUCCUCAUUCAUCCAUUGAAAGGUAGAAGAGUUGAAGUUCAAUUCUUGCCGUAAGUCUCAUUAAUUUCCUCAAUUUUGUCUUGAAAUAGGUGUUCUUGAGCUAAAUUAAUCCUUUGGCCAUUUUAGCUUCGUUUGUGGUCAUUUCUAGGGCACAGGUCCCUUGAGCUGGUGUAGACCUUAAGACAGAGUCUUAGUGAUUCCAUGCAUGGAUCCCAUAUACCUAUUAUUGACCCAAUUUUAGGUCCAAGUUCUCUCAUUGCAUUAUGGAUAUAGUUUUCCUUAUGUUGACACCUAUAUUGUUGAUUUGAUAGUAUGGAAUCAUAUAGAGGCUGCUCAGAAAGGAAAAACAUUUUAGUGGAUUUGCAGAGCGAGUGUUUGACUUCGACGUAGUCUAUAACUUAAUGAUCAUAGGCUUAGCUCGUUGAUUGUUUUAGCAUGAUGAUUUUCUAAUUUUGGGUUGGAUUAGCUAAUAUCAUUCUUUUUGAUAUCCAUAUUGCUUUGUUAGACUUAUUUCGAGUUUAUUACAAAAUAGUAUUUCAUGUUCUUGCCUCUAUUGAUGUUUAUGCUCCCGCAACUAGUUUGCCUUAAUGUAUCUUAGUUAGGGGCUUAGCCUAGGGUUGGUUAGUGUGUGCCUUAGACUUAAGUCUUAGUGGGUCGUAUGUUGUAGAUUUGGAUUAGAUGUGACCCUUCAGGUUGUAGACUUUGACCUUCAGAAACCUUCUAUUAUCGAUUUUGGCUACUUGGGGUUCGUUUGGUGCUUAGUAUUACCUUAGAUGAUUGGACCUAUAUUUAUUUGUGUGUGUGAUUGGAUCAUCCCGAUGUAAUAUUUCAAGAAGGAUUAGCUCUUGUGUGAUGGCCUCCAAAUGUAAGAAUCCAAGAUGGCCUAGCUAUUCUGAUGUAAAAUUCUGAUAAAAGCUAGGUUUCUUCGUGUUUAAUUUCGAUGUAAGAUUCUGUGAUUGACUAGUUAUUCCAAUGUAAGAUUUUGGGAGAUGCUUAGCCUUUUUAUGGUUUUUUGAUGUAAGAUUUCAGAAAGGAUAUGGUUUCGAUGUAAGAUUCUGGAAGCUAGGUUCGUGGGGUUAGCCCGAUGUAAGAUUCUGUGAUUGACUAGUUAUUCCGAUGUAAGAUUCCAGGAGAUGCUUAGCCUUUUUAUGGUUUUUUGAUGUAAGAUUUCAUAAAGGAUAUGUUUUCGAUGUAAGAUUCUGGAAGCUAGGUUCGUGGGGUUAGCCCGAUGUAAGAUUCUGUGAUUGACUAGUUAUUCCGAUGUAAGAUUCCAGGAGAUGCUUAGCCUUUUUAUGGUUUUUUGAUGUAAGAUUUCAUAAAGGAUAUGUUUUCGAUGUAAGAUUCUGGAAGCUAGGUUGUGGGGUUAGCCUGAUGUAAGGUUCCGAGAACGACUGGCUUUACCGAUGUAAGAUUCCAGAAAAGGUUGUCCUUAUUAGAUGUAGCAAUCCUGAUGUAAGAUUCCAGGAUGAGCUAUUCCUUCUUAGCGGUUAUUCCGAUGUCAGAUUCCGGCCAAUAGGCCAUGCUUGGGUUUAUGGCUAAUGUUCUUGAUUGUUCCUAGUACUGUUCUUCUUUAUUAUUUGCUCUCGUGUGUACUUGUUAGACUUAUGAGGGUCUUCUAGGAUUUAUUUCCUCUAUCCUGUCUCUUGUAAUCAUCUUUUUGGCUUAUGGGUCCAAUUAGGUUUCAUUUGGGUUAGAUUAUUUAAGUUCAACCUCAAAUACUCUCUAUCUGACUAAUGAAUUAUUUUAUGAUCAUUGUUCCCUUAAAGCUGACUUACUGCUUUACUUACAUUUUUUUAUGCUUUGGCAAUCUCGAGCUUGAUCGGCCUAUGUAUUCAUUGUUUUGAUAGUCAUACUACGCUGUAUCUCUUUUCCUUGAUGUAGAUCCGAGUUUUAGCUGACCACAUUGAUCCUUGUGCAAUGCAACUUAUAGUCGGAGAUUGAUGGUGAACUUACUGGCAUCUGGAUUUGACUCAUGUCCUUCUGUAUAUUUUGAUUAGUCUUUUGUAUUUUCAGACAUUCUAUCACGUCCUCUACUCAGUCUUUUAUAGUAGUUCUCUCUUGAUGUCUACCAGGUUUUGGGAUGAAUCUUUUAUAGCUUUUUUCCUUGUUCAUUAAUGUAUGUACAUAAGUCUUGUUCUUGCCGUAGCUAUUUUAUUUACUUUGAUUGUAUUUUCCUUAAAGUUGGUACUUCCGCUCUAUAGGCCAAUUACUC
RNAcentral lists this long non-coding RNA (2435 nucleotides) under Solanum tuberosum (potato). RNAcentral describes it as "long non-coding RNA (STUB_LNC005572)". Lineage: Eukaryota; Viridiplantae; Streptophyta; Magnoliopsida; Solanales; Solanaceae. The record is from RNAcentral.